Molecule: ribosomal RNA, 253 nt
Filed under: uncultured bacterium
Lineage: Bacteria
Description: partial 16S ribosomal RNA
Rfam family: Bacterial small subunit ribosomal RNA
Source: RNAcentral
UACAGAGGGUGCAAGCGUUGUUCGGAAUUAUUGGGCGUAAAGGGCGCGUAGGCGGUGCGGUAAGUCUGUAGUGAAAUCUCUGGGCUCAACUCAGAGUCUGCUAUAGAAACUGCCGUGCUCGAGUGUGGGAGAGGUGAGUGGAAUUCCCGGUGUAGCGGUGAAAUGCGUAGGUAUCGGGAGGAACACCUGUGGCGAAAGCGGCUCACUGGACCACAACUGACGCUGAUGCGCGAAAGCUAGGGGAGCAAACAGG